GUCGGUUAAAUACCGACCUGCAUGAAUGGCGUAACGAGAUGGGAGCUGUCUCAAAGAGGGAUCCAGUGAAAUUGUAGUGGAGGUGAAAAUUCCUCCUACCCGCGGCAAGACGGAGAGACCCCGUGGACCUUUACUACAGCUUGACACUGCUAUUUGGAUAAGAAUGUGCAGGAUAGGUGGGAGGCUUUGAGUAUAUGACGCCAGUUGUAUAUGAGCCAUUGUUGAGAUACCACUCUUUCUUAUUUGGGUAGCUAACCAGCUUGAGUUAUCCUCAAGUGGGACAAUGUCUGGUGGGUAGUUUGACUGGGGCGGUCGCCUCCCAAAUAAUAACGGAGGCUUACAAAGGUUGGCUCAGAACGGUUGGAAAUCGUUCGUAGAGUAUAAAGGUAUAAGCCAGCUUAACUGCAAGACAUACAAGUCAAGCAGAGACGAAAGUCGGUCUUAGUGAUCCGGUGGUUCUGUGUGGAAGGGCCAUCGCUCAAAGGAUAAAAGGUACCCCGGGGAUAACAGGCUGAUCUCCCCCAAGAGCUCACAUCGACGGGGAGGUUUGGCACCUCGAUGUCGGCUCAUCGCAUCCUGGGGCUGGAGCAUGUCCCA
This 597-nucleotide ribosomal RNA is filed under the name Campylobacter coli. RNAcentral's name for it is "bacterial LSU rRNA". It matches the Rfam family "Bacterial large subunit ribosomal RNA", at positions 1971 to 2567 of the family's 2925-position model. Lineage: Bacteria; Pseudomonadati; Campylobacterota; Epsilonproteobacteria; Campylobacterales; Campylobacteraceae. The record is from RNAcentral.